RNAcentral lists this ribosomal RNA (1200 nucleotides) under Streptomyces rochei. RNAcentral describes it as "bacterial SSU rRNA". It matches the Rfam family "Bacterial small subunit ribosomal RNA", at positions 172 to 1368 of the family's 1533-position model. Lineage: Bacteria; Bacillati; Actinomycetota; Actinomycetes; Kitasatosporales; Streptomycetaceae. The record is from RNAcentral.
AAUUAUACCCCUUCGGGGGUUUUUGGGGGGUUUAAAAAUUUCCGGGGGGGCCGGGAUGACCCCGCGGCCUUUUAAGUUAGUUGGUGAGGUAAUGGUUCACCAAGGCGACGACGGGUACCCGCCUGAGAGGGCGACCGGCCACACUGGGAAUGAGACACGGCCCAGAUUCUUACGGGAGGCAGCAGUGGGGAAUAUUGCACAAUGGGCGAAAGCCUGAUGCAGCGACGCCGCGUGAGGGAUGACGGCCUUCGGGUUGUAAACCUCUUUCAGCAGGGAAGAAGCGAAAGUGACGGUACCUGCAGAAGAAGCGCCGGCUAACUACGUGCCAGCAGCCGCGGUAAUACGUAGGGCGCCAGCGUUGUCCGGAAUUAUUGGGCGUAAAGAGCUCGUAGGCGGCUUGUCACGUCGGUUGUGAAAGCCCGGGGCUUAACCCCGGGUCUGCAGUCGAUACGGGCAGGCUAGAGUUCGGUAGGGGAGAUCGGAAUUCCUGGUGUAGCGGUGAAAUGCGCAGAUAUCAGGAGGAACACCGGUGGCGAAGGCGGAUCUCUGGGCCGAUACUGACGCUGAGGAGCGAAAGCGUGGGGAGCGAACAGGAUUAGAUACCCUGGUAGUCCACGCCGUAAACGGUGGGCACUAGGUGUGGGCAACAUUCCACGUUGUCCGUGCCGCAGCUAACGCAUUAAGUGCCCCGCCUGGGGAGUACGGCCGCAAGGCUAAAACUCAAAGGAAUUGACGGGGGCCCGCACAAGCGGCGGAGCAUGUGGCUUAAUUCGACGCAACGCGAAGAACCUUACCAAGGCUUGACAUACACCGGAAAACCCUGGAGACAGGGUCCCCCUUGUGGUCGGUGUACAGGUGGUGCAUGGCUGUCGUCAGCUCGUGUCGUGAGAUGUUGGGUUAAGUCCCGCAACGAGCGCAACCCUUGUCCCGUGUUGCCAGCAGGCCCUUGUGGUGCUGGGGACUCACGGGAGACCGCCGGGGUCAACUCGGAGGAAGGUGGGGACGACGUCAAGUCAUCAUGCCCCUUAUGUCUUGGGCUGCACACGUGCUACAAUGGCCGGUACAAUGAGCUGCGAUACCGCGAGGUGGAGCGAAUCUCAAAAAGCCGGUCUCAGUUCGGAUUGGGGUCUGCAACUCGACCCCAUGAAGUCGGAGUCGCUAGUAAUCGCAGAUCAGCAGGAUGCUCGACGAGGGUAAAUA